CGUGUUUUUUUAGAAGGUGGUUGGACAAAGCGGAUCGUGUUCACGAAGCGAUGCUUGACACGUAGUUGCACUGCAGUCACAAACCAAGAUGUGCCCGCCCGAUAAAGGAGUGAAGCUCUGCUGCUAGCACAGAUGUCGCCAUAGUCUCGAGGCACCGUCUGGCAAGGCGAGAGGCUCUGCUUGUAGCACAGACGCUACCAUAGUCCCGAGGCUCUGUCUGGCAAGACCAGAAGCUCUGCACCUAGCAGAUGCCGCCAUAGUCCCGAGGCACCGUCUGGCAAGGCUGCCCUCACGGCAAAACAGGUUUAAUUUUGGCAGACGCCUUUCGUCAAGCAUGGUAC
Molecule: long non-coding RNA, 341 nt
Organism: Ixodes scapularis (black-legged tick)
Lineage: Eukaryota; Metazoa; Arthropoda; Arachnida; Ixodida; Ixodidae
Exons: 5
Source: RefSeq, a predicted model, not a curated record